This 710-nucleotide long non-coding RNA is filed under the name Equus caballus (horse). RNAcentral's name for it is "lncRNA (ENSECAG00000049219.1)". Lineage: Eukaryota; Metazoa; Chordata; Mammalia; Perissodactyla; Equidae. The record is from RNAcentral.
AGCACCUCCUUUGUGCCAGCGACUGUGUGGGGUGCUGGGGUUACAAUGGUGAGUGAGGUAACCAUGAUUCCAGCUCUCAGGAAACCUAAUGACCAAAUGGGGAAGAUAGGUGACAGUGAUGGUGAUGACGAUGGCAAUGGUCAUGAUGGAGAUGAUGGUGAUGGUGAUGAUGGAGGUGAUGGUGGUAAUGGAGGUGGUGGCAAUGGUGAUGAUGGAGGUGAUGGAGGUGAUGGUGAUAAUGGAGGUGAUGGUGAUGGUGAUGACAGAGGUGAUGGUGGUAAUGGAGGUGGUGGCAAUGGUGAUGAUGGAGGUGAUGGAGGUGAUGGUGAUAAUGGAGGUGAUGGUGAUGAUGGAGGUGAUAAUGGAGGUGAUGGUGAUGAAGGAGGUGAUGGUGAUGGUGGUAAUGGAGGUGAUGGCGAUGGUGAUGAUGGAGGUGAUAGUGAUGAUGGAGGUGAUGGUGAUAAUGGAGGUGAUGGUGAUGAUGGAGGUGAUGGUGAUGGUGGUAAUGGAGGUGAUGGCGAUGGUGAUGAUGGAGGUGAUAGUGAUGAUGGAGGUGAUGGUGAUGAUGGAGGUGAUGAUGAUGGUGAUGAUGGAGGUGAUGGUGAUGAUGGAAGUGAUGGCAAUGGUGGUGAUGGAGGUGAUGGCAAUGGUGAUGAGGGAGGUGAAAUUCACAUCAUAUACAAUGAACCGUUUUAGAGUGUACAGUUCGG